Molecule: ribosomal RNA, 385 nt
Filed under: uncultured microorganism
Description: bacterial SSU rRNA
Rfam family: Archaeal small subunit ribosomal RNA
Source: RNAcentral
GCGCAGCAGGCGCGAAUACUUUACAAUGUGCGAAAGCACGAUAAGGGAACUCUGAGUGCCUCCUAAGGAGGCUGUUCAGGUGUCUAAAAGCACCUGAAGGAAGGGCUGGGUAAGACCGGUGCCAGCCGCCGCGGUAACACCGGCAGCCCAAGUGGUAGCCACGUUUAUUGGGUCUAAAGCGUCCGUAGCCGGCUGGGUAAGUUCCUUGGGAAAUUUGGCUGCUUAACAGUCAAGCUUUCAGGGAAUACUGCUCGGCUUGGGGACCCGGGAGAGGUCAGAGGUACUCCAGGGGUAGGGUGAAAUCCAUUAAUCCUUGGGGGACCACCGGUAGCGAAGGCGUCUGACCAGACCGGGUCCGACGGUGAGGGACGAAGGCUAGGGGCGC